GACGAACGCUGGCGGCGUGCUUAACACAUGCAAGUCGAACGGAAAGUCCCUGCUUUUGUGGGGUGCUCGAGUUGCGAACGGGUGAGUAACACUUGAGUACCCUGCCCUUGCCUUUGGGAUAACUUCAUGAAACUGGCUCUAAUACCGGAUAGGAGCUCCUGCUUCAUGGUGGGGGUUGGAAAGUUUCGGCGGUUGGGGAUGGACUCGCGGCUUAUCAGCUUGUUGGUGGGGUAGUGGCUUACCAAGGCUUUGACGGGUAGCCGGCCUGAGAGGGGGACCGGACACAUUGGGACUGAGAUACGGCACAGACUACUACGGGAGGCAGCAGUGGGGAAUAUUGCACAAUGGGCGGAAGCCUGAUGCAGCAACGCCGCGUGCGGGAUGACGGCAUUCGGGUUGUAAACCGCUUUCGCCUGUGACGAAGCGUGAGUGACGGUAAUGGGUAAAGAAGCACCGGCUAACUACGUG
This 468-nucleotide ribosomal RNA is filed under the name uncultured bacterium. RNAcentral's name for it is "partial 16S ribosomal RNA". It matches the Rfam family "Bacterial small subunit ribosomal RNA", at positions 28 to 507 of the family's 1533-position model. The record is from RNAcentral.